This is a long non-coding RNA of Empidonax traillii (willow flycatcher), 114 nucleotides long. RefSeq lists it as uncharacterized. The transcript is spliced from 4 exons. The record is from RefSeq and is a predicted model, not a curated record. NCBI's taxonomy places the organism in Eukaryota, Metazoa, Chordata, Aves, Passeriformes, Tyrannidae.
CAUCCAGGUCAGUCUUCUGUUACUCUUUUGAGUAUCUCCAUGGACGGAGACUCCACAACCUCCCUGGGAAACCUGCGCCAGUGUUCAGUCAUCCUUACAAUGAAAAAGUGUUUC